UACGGAAGGCAGCAGUGGGGAAUAUUGCGCAAUGGACGAAAGUCUGACGCAGCAACGCCGCGUGAGUGAUGAAGGUCUUCGGAUCGUAAAGCUCUGUCGGCAGGAACGAUGUUUUUGAGAGCUAAUAUCUCUCAGAAUUGACGGUACCUGCAAAGGAAGCACCGGCUAACUCUGUGCCAGCAGCCGCGGUAAUACAGAGGGUGCAAGCGUUGUUCGGAAUCAUUGGGCGUAAGGGCGCGUAGGCGGUUGAUUAAGUUGAAUGUGAAAGCCCGGGGCUCAACCUCGGAAGUGCAUUCAAAACUAGUCAACUAGAGUUCCGCAGAGGAUGGUAGAAUUCCCAGUGUAGAGGUGAAAUUCGUAGAUAUUGGGAGGAAUACCAGUGGGCGAAGGCGACCAUCUGGGACGGAUACUGACGCUGAGGCGCGAAAGCGUGGGUAGCAAACAAGGGAUUAGGAUACC
This 459-nucleotide ribosomal RNA is filed under the name uncultured bacterium. RNAcentral's name for it is "bacterial SSU rRNA". It matches the Rfam family "Bacterial small subunit ribosomal RNA", at positions 340 to 786 of the family's 1533-position model. The record is from RNAcentral.